This 470-nucleotide ribosomal RNA is filed under the name uncultured organism. RNAcentral's name for it is "partial 16S ribosomal RNA". It matches the Rfam family "Bacterial small subunit ribosomal RNA", at positions 335 to 797 of the family's 1533-position model. The record is from RNAcentral.
ACUCCUACGGGAGGCAGCAGUGGGGAAUUUUGGACAAUGGGCGAAAGCCUGAUCCAGCAAUGCCGCGUGAGUGAAGAAGGCCUUCGGGUUGUAAAGCUCUUUUGUCAGGGAAGAAACGGUGAAAGCUAAUAUCUUUUGCUAAUGACGGUACCUGAAGAAUAAGCACCGGCUAACUACGUGCCAGCAGCCGCGGUAAUACGUAGGGUGCAAGCGUUAAUCGGAAUUACUGGGCGUAAAGCGUGCGCAGGCGGUCUUGUAAGUCUGAUGUGAAAUCCCCGGGCUCAACCUGGGAAUUGCAUUGGAGACUGCAAGGCUAGAAUCUGGCAGAGGGGGGUAGAAUUCCACGUGUAGCAGUGAAAUGCGUAGAUAUGUGGAGGAACACCGAUGGCGAAGGCAGCCCCCUGGGUCAAGAUUGACGCUCAUGCACGAAAGCGUGGGGAGCAAACAGGAUUAGAAACCCUAGUAGUCCC